GAUGAACGCUGGCGGCGUGCCUAAUACAUGCAAGUCGAGCGAACGGACGCGAAUCUUGCUUCUCUGCUGUUAGCGGCGCACGGGUGAGUAACACGUGGAUAACCUACCUAUAAGCCUGGGAUAACUUCGGGAAACCGUAGCUAAUACCGGAUCAUAUUUUGAACCGCAUGGUUCAAAAGUGAAAGACGGUCUUGCUGUCACUUAUAGAUGGAUCCGCGCUUCAUUAGCUAGUUGGUAAGGUAACGACGUACCAAGGCAACGAUGCAUAGCCGACGUGAGAGGCGGAUAGGCCACACGGGACCUGCGACGCGGACCAGACUCCUACGGGAGCCAGGAGUAGGGAAUCGGACGCAAUAGGGGAAAGCCUGACGGAGCAACGCCGCGUGCGUGAGAAAGGUCUUCGGAUCGUAAAACUCUUCUAUUAGGGAAGAACAUAUGUGUAAGUAGCUGUGCACAUCUGUACGGUACCUAAUCAGAAAGCAACGGCUAACUACGUG
Molecule: ribosomal RNA, 497 nt
Filed under: uncultured bacterium
Lineage: Bacteria
Description: partial 16S ribosomal RNA
Rfam family: Bacterial small subunit ribosomal RNA
Source: RNAcentral